CCAGUUGGCUGGGCAGCCGCGCUUUACCAAUGCCGAAAGGCGGUAAGGUGAGGAAAGUCCGGGCUCCACGGAAACACGGUGCCGGAUAACGUCCGGCGAGGGCGACCUCAGGGAAAGUGCCACAGAAAGCAAACCGCCCCGUUUACGGGGUAAGGGUGAAAGGGUGGGGUAAGAGCCCACCGCGUGUCUGGUGACAGAGACGGCACGGUAAACCCCACCGGGAGCAAGACCGAAUAGGGAUGACGCGGGUCCUGCGCAAGCAGGGCUACAGCCUGUUUCCGGGCCAGUCAUCCGGGUGGGUUGCGAGAGGCAGCGUGCAAAUGCUGUCCCAGAUGAAUGGCUGCCACGUUCCGGGCGACCGGAGCCAUACAGAACCCGGCUUACAGGCCAACUGGCACC
RNAcentral lists this RNase P RNA (399 nucleotides) under Agrobacterium sp. a22-2. RNAcentral describes it as "RNase P RNA component class A". It matches the Rfam family "Bacterial RNase P class A". Rfam says of the family: Ribonuclease P (RNase P) is a ubiquitous endoribonuclease, found in archaea, bacteria and eukarya as well as chloroplasts and mitochondria. Its best characterised activity is the generation of mature 5'-ends of tRNAs by cleaving the 5'-leader elements of precursor-tRNAs. The record is from RNAcentral. Lineage: Bacteria; Pseudomonadati; Pseudomonadota; Alphaproteobacteria; Hyphomicrobiales; Rhizobiaceae.